UUGCUGCCCACAGUGUUUGAGUGUGCAUACGCUCAGCUGGUCCUGCCUUGGUACGACACCCCUGAGCCGUGCGAGGAGCAGCCGCUGCACCAGGCACUCAGCAGAGAGGUCGACUUUGUCAUCAGCCGCAUCAUUGAAAGAGCCAAAGACUUUGAUGUCUGCCAGGCUGUCGUCGGCUCCAUCCGGAUUUUGACUCAACACUUGCAUAAUGCAAAGCAGUCGGACAGAGAGCAGUUGUUCAGCUCCAGAGCAGAGGAGGUUUCUGUUCUCAGAGCGUUCUCUGAUGCUCUGGUACGUAACCUGUUUCCCAAAUCCCUGUGGGGUCAAGAAGUCAGCCGCUGUGCCUUAAGUGAGAUCAUUGCUGUAAAGGGGAUUGGGCUGCUGGUCACAUGGCUGUCGGAUCCCGACAACCUUAACCAGCUGGUGGUGAGCCAGCUUGACAUUGUCACCCCCAAAAGCUCCACCUGGGAGCUGUGUGGAUCGGACCCCGAUCAGACCUCUCUGACUUCACAGGAGGGAGCAGCAGAGGAGGAAAGCAGUGAAUUGAGCUCGCAUGGAGCCAAUUUUUCAACUGGCACGCGGAUCAAGGACAAGAGGAAAUGUAACAAAUUAAAGAAAGGUU
RNAcentral lists this long non-coding RNA (622 nucleotides) under Gouania willdenowi (blunt-snouted clingfish). RNAcentral describes it as "lncRNA (ENSGWIG00000013155.1)". The record is from RNAcentral. Lineage: Eukaryota; Metazoa; Chordata; Actinopteri; Blenniiformes; Gobiesocidae.